GACGAACGCUGGCGGCGUGCUUAACACAUGCAAGUCGAACGGAAAGGCCCUGCUUGCAGGGUACUCGAGUGGCGAACGGGUGAGUAACACGUGGGUGAUCUGCCCUGCACUUCGGGAUAAGCCUGGGAAACUGGGUCUAUUACCGGAUAGGAGCCAUUUUUAGUGUGUUGGUUGGAAAGUUUUUUCGGUGUAGGAUGAGCUCGCGGCCUAUCAGCUUGUUGGGGGGGUAAUGGCCUACCAAGGCGGCGACGGGUAGCCGGCCUGAGAGGGUGGACGGCCACAUUGGGACUGAGAUACGGCCCAGACUCCUACGGGAGGCAGCAGUGGGGAAUAUUGCACAAUGGGCGCAAGCCUGAUGCAGCGACGCCGCGUGGGGGAUGACGGCCUUCGGGUUGUAAAAUCCUUUCGCUAGGGACGAAGCUUUUUGUGACGGUACCUAGAUAAGAAGCACCGGCUAACUACGUG
RNAcentral lists this ribosomal RNA (465 nucleotides) under uncultured bacterium. RNAcentral's name for it is "partial 16S ribosomal RNA". It matches the Rfam family "Bacterial small subunit ribosomal RNA", at positions 28 to 507 of the family's 1533-position model. The record is from RNAcentral.